AAAUUGAAGAGUUUGAUCAUGGCUCAGAUUGAACGCUGGCGGCAGGCCUAACACAUGCAAGUCGAACGGUAACAGGAAGCAGCUUGCUGCUUCGCUGACGAGUGGCGGACGGGUGAGUAAUGUCUGGGAAACUGCCUGAUGGAGGGGGAUAACUACUGGAAACGGUGGCUAAUACCGCAUAACGUCGCAAGACCAAAGAGGGGGACCUUCGGGCCUCUUGCCAUCAGAUGUGCCCAGAUGGGAUUAGCUAGUUGGUGAGGUAACGGCUCACCAAGGCGACGAUCCCUAGCUGGUCUGAGAGGAUGACCAGCCACACUGGAACUGAGACACGGUCCAGA
This 338-nucleotide ribosomal RNA is filed under the name Salmonella enterica. RNAcentral's name for it is "bacterial SSU rRNA". It matches the Rfam family "Bacterial small subunit ribosomal RNA", at positions 1 to 335 of the family's 1533-position model. The record is from RNAcentral. Lineage: Bacteria; Pseudomonadati; Pseudomonadota; Gammaproteobacteria; Enterobacterales; Enterobacteriaceae.